This is a long non-coding RNA of Pomacea canaliculata, 4734 nucleotides long. RefSeq lists it as uncharacterized. The transcript has 3 exons. The record is from RefSeq and is a predicted model, not a curated record. NCBI's taxonomy places the organism in Eukaryota, Metazoa, Mollusca, Gastropoda, Architaenioglossa, Ampullariidae.
AGUUCCAAUGAAGUUAAGCUUUUGUUGUAUUCUUGCUGUUGAUAGUUUUCCGAUUUACGAUUUCGCGGUUUAUUGUAAGAUAUUUUACAUUAAAAAUAUAUUGAUUUGAAAUUCAAGCCGUUUAUAGCUUUUUUCCCACAAUUAGUCGAUGUUUAUUCUUAUGUUUACUUUGUUGGAUUCCGCCAGUUUUCGUGCGAAGAAUUCACUCAUCACAAGAAAUAGGAGAUGAAAAUUUUUUGUACCCUGUUAUUAACAGUGAUGUAUUAAAGUUGCAUAGAGUAUGUUUGUGGGCUUAAAAUAUUAUUUGCAAAUUUACCAUGCAGUUUUUUGGUACUUCAGUUUAAAAAUAAUUUCCUGUAAAUAAUAUCAAAAGAAAGGCCGGCUACUGACACUAAUCUUCAGGUGGUUUUCUUUGCAUGUUAACUGUAAAAAUAGGCCAUUGGCCUUUUAGUUGCUGGAUAUGAAGGGUAGCUGUUUUGUGUGAGGGCAGUGCCCAUCUUUUCUCCCUCCAGACAAUCCUUGCUUCGUGUCUAUCUUCAUUGACAGGUCCAAAGUUCUUGGCAGCCACAACAGGAACUUUCAUUCUACUUGGUGAUGGCUUUUCUUUGUGGAACUCCAUGUUGUCUUGCUUACCUUGCAGUACAUUCAUCAGUCUUCAAAACAGGAUUUCUUGAUCAUCUUUGAUUCUUUUUCUGGUUACAAGCUUUUGUAAAGCUUUUCUUUUCUUGUAAGCUUCUUGAUCACCUCCUUGUGGUUCAUUGCAAAUCAGUAGAGGGGGCUCCCCAAAAUCGGGUCCGCUGCUUCUCAAAGAAUAGUAAGGAAUAAACCUGGCUAGGGGUGAAUGCCUCCUGUCCACACUAUAGUGAGUUAAUAAGAUUUUUUUCAGUUUGGUAUUCAUUUUCUAUUUGUGUCAUUUGUAUCCUAAGGUUUAAGGUUUUGUAUUGAAGUGUGACUAAACUCAGAUAACAAAAGUGGAGUAUAUUUUAAUUCUGCAUGGAUGUGAUAAAAUAAUGAUAUGCAAUGUCAGAUUUACUAAAUAACACUUUAUAAGCAUUAAUAAAGCUUAAAAAUACUGAAAUGAGAUAAAUGUGAAUCGGUAGCAUACAAAAAAACAUACAUCACUGACGUUCCCUAGCCUGAUGACAAAAAUGAGUGGGGAUGACGUUGUUAACCCCGAAACCAGCCAUAUUUUGGUAAGCCAUGCUUUUGAUAGCCGCACAAAGAUGGGCAAAAUUUGAGCAGUUUUUGGUUGGUUGACCAAUUCAAGUAACAAGACUGGUAUACCAAUGCUUGGAUUUCCUGAAAAGCAUUAAAUAUUUGAAGAGUGUGGAUUAACUUCAUCAAAAGAACAAGAAAAAGUUUACAAUGCCAACCCCGUACAACGUAUUUGUUGCUCUUCAUUCAUACCAGAAUAUUAUUGUGACAAGUGGCAUGUUGAAAAAGGUAAGUUGAGACAAGUUUAUUUAAAAAUGCCAGUUUUUUAAAGAUUUUUAGCAUAUGUAAAAGUAACCUAAGCUUUUAAUACCUGCAUAUUUUACUUUGUUUUGUUACAAACUGUUUAAUAAUAUAUUGUUUAAGUACUGUUGGCUUUAAGUAAACACAAACUGAGUGAUGGGAUUUCAUUUUAGGGAAAUUCUUUUUUUAGGCCUGAUCAGAAACAAAACAUUUUGACACAUCUUGCCAACAAAGGUGGAAUUGAAAGACCGAGAAGUUUGAGAAAGUCUUUCAUCGACUAUCUGGACUGGAUGGCAGUAUCUACUCCUAGUGGCUAGCACAUGCUAGCUAAAUGAGAAAGUCAACUAAACCAUUUGAAUGAGGGACACGAAUUAUUUUUUCUAGGAUACUUUUAUGGACUUCUGCGAGAAGAGAUAAUGAAGGGCUGGUUUACCACCAAAUUCAGAUGUUCAAAGAAAUAGGAAGUGUUCUGAGGAACAGAUACCUAGCAAAGGAUAUCAAGAAGCUGUCUCCACUGCACUAGACAUCUGCUUUGGAAACCUUCAGUAGCCUGAUAAUAAAGUUUUGCCCCAAGCACACAGCAUUUUUCCUAUCUGGAAUGUACUGCAGAGUAUGUGCCACAGCUAAUGCAGAAAAUUUUUCAAAAGUUUGAAGAAAUUCUGACCAUGGUUCAUGGCUUUCUUCCUACCAGAUUUCUGAACAUACCAGAUCUGCUAGCAGGAUAUGAUCAUCCUACCAAGAUGAGGCAUUGGCAACAUAUUCCACAUUUUUGUACUUCUGACCUAUAAGCCUUAAAACAUAAUUGAACAGGAAAGAAAUUAUGUAACCAAGGCAGAUUAUUCCUGUAUUACCAUCUUUUAAACACCUGACGCAGAAUGACAGGGUCUGAACUCAGUUAUUCUUAAAUGAAAAUCACCAAGUAAUCCUUUUCUUGUGUGAAAAAAAAACUAACAGUUGGAAAAGAUAAAGCAGUAAAUAAAAAUAAUAAUAAUAAUAAUGUGAACUUAUAACGCGCAACAUCGAGACCAAGAUGUCACAUGUUUUGUGUGUUUUAUUUCACAAUUUAAAUAAAUUAUUCAUUAUUGAAUGAUGUCAUCUUCAUGGCCAGAAGUGUUGUGAAAACAACUUCCCAGCAUGGUUGUGACAGUGCUUUGUGUAUGCACUUCACAAAUAUAAUGUAAUAGACCACCCAAAAAAAGACAAAUUAUGUUCUAAACUGAAGAGUUAUUGAACUUUUGGUGAACCUAAUUGAAAUAUUUUUGACAAAAAAGUAUUACAUCGAAGUGAAAUGUUGACAAAUUUCUGUUCAAGAUAUGUUUUAUGCAGUCAGUAUAGAUGUAUCAUAUCUGAUAUAGAAGUGCAACACCUAAGAAUGAAGCACGCACCAUUUUCACAGAAACAUCAUGGCUGAAAUCAACAAACUAAACAAACUUUCUAGUGGUCAUAUUGCUACAGCGUUCAAGACCUUUCAAUUUGCUCUCUAUAGAAGGUGAGUUUCACUUCUGUUUGAUGUUAAUGCUGUAAACAUAUAUCAAUAGGUAGAAUAGCUAGCAGAAUAUUGAGUAAUGCCUUUUGGAACAGGCAAUACUUGCUGCUAAGAGUGCCAAAAUUACAACAGCUUUCUUCUUUUUUUUUUUUUUUUUUGGCAGUUAGAUGCUUAUUUGUAAAUAAAAUGUAUAAGACAUGGUUCAAAAAGUUCUGGUGGUUUUUACUAACUAUAAAUUUUGUUUUGGUUUUUAGGUUAGAAAAAAAAAACAGGACUGAGCUGAUGUGGUCCUCAUUUGUUGCAACUCCAGCACAGUGAAAAGCUGUACUGACUAUUUAAGGCCAUUCUUAACAAAUUUGGGCAUUUUUGACCAUGUUUGUCUGAGUACAGUCUUUAAGGGACUUAUGUUUUUGCAUUGGUCUUUCUAAGUAUAAAAGUGUAUUUAGGACAGGGAUAAAUGCAAGAGUUUACCUUGAAAAUUAACUGAUAGUAAAAAAGACAGUGAUGAAUUCAAUGUUUUUAUUCCUUCUUGUCUCAUACAAGAAAUGUUCUUUCUUUAUAUUUAUCACUAAAAUGUUCUGAGAUGGAAAAUUUGAUUUCCUUUGUUAACAGAUUGGUAAUCUUUAUUAUACAGAGAUAGUAAAAAAUUAAGAUCUUAUCUUUUAAGCUAACACAUUACCAAUAAAAAGUAAAGUAAGUCUAGAAUAAAAUAGAGAUAAAAAAUAAAAGAUAAACAGACUUGCAGGGGCUCAGACUUAUAAUGGGGAAACAUUAAGAGUGAUGCUCGCCAAUUUCUUUUUUUUGUUGUUGUUUUGUUGCCAUGAAAUUUACAUUAACACUGGUUUAAGAAAAUAAUUUAGACACAUGCCCUAUAUACUUUUAUUUCUUAUUUGGAAUUUUUGGUUCAUUCUCAUUGUCAUACUAUUACUCCCUUUUUGUAAAACUUUCAGUAAUAUAUUCUGUGAGACGGUAGUUAACUUUUGUCACUUUGAGAUUCUCAACUUUUUUCUUGACUGUACCCCCAGAGGUGAAAGUAAGUCCGUGGGUACCCCUCGCACGUAAGUUCACGCAUAAAAGUACUUAUUUUCAUAAUGGCGUGUGCUUAUUUAUAUGUAAUGUUAUGUUAUAACCAGUUUUAUGUUAUAAUCAGCUUCUAGGUCAUGAUAGGAGAUUUCUUAAUACUAAUCAGUGAAUUACAUUAAGCAAUAGGAAUGAAGUCUUCGGAUAUUUAGUAAGGUAACUCAAAAUUGAUGCUAUAAGUUAUUCUUAGGCUUUUGAAAGGGACAGAGGGAAUUAUGCCACAUCUUAUUUCCAGUUCACAAAAGACCAAACAGGAGAGAGGUAUGAAAUGUGACAGAUGUUGACUCUUGCUUUUUGAAAGUACUGACCUGAGUCAAUCUACAAUAGUGAAACUUGAGAACAAUUGUUUGUAAACAGAAAUACGAAGAUUUCAUAAAUGAAGUGUGAUCAGUACAACAUUUUCUGGAAUUAAAGAAAGUUGCUUAGUUUUAGUGUACUCUUGUAAGUUUGUUGUUUGUAGCUAGUGAAAAAGUGGAGAAGUUUCAUUGUUUUUAUAGUAUGAAAGUUUUAUUGCUUUACAGUGUUACUCUUUGAAUAGAACAGUAGUUUAAAAAAGUGUAGCUGAUAUUUAAACCCAACCACAGAUAUGCAGCAUGCAAACAAAACAACAAAAAUAUGAGCUCACUGACGUAGAGAAGGGACACCAUAUUAAACCAGAAUGACACAUGAAAGAAAAACUCUGUACAACCAUGUACACCAAAAUUUCACACACU